GACGAACGCUGGCGGCGUGCUUAACACAUGCAAGUCGAACGGAAAGGCCCCGCUUUUGUGGGGUGCUCGAGUGGCGAACGGGUGAGUAACACGUGAGUAACCUGCCCUUGACUUUGGGAUAACUUCAGGAAACUGGGGCUAAUACCGGAUAGGAGCUCCUGCUGCAUGGUGGGGGUUGGAAAGUUUCGGCGGUUGGGGAUGGACUCGCGGCUUAUCAGCUUGUUGGUGGGGUAGUGGCUUACCAAGGCUUUGACGGGUAGCCGGCCUGAGAGGGUGACCGACCACAUUGGGACUGGGAUACGGCCCAGACUCCUACGGGAGGCAGCAGUGGGGAAUAUUGCACAAUGGGCGGAAGCCUGAUGCAGCAACGCCGCGUGCGGGAUGACGGCCUUCGGGUUGUAAACCGCUUUCGCCUGUGACGAAGCGUGAGUGACGGUAAUGGGUAAAGAAGCACCGGCUAACUACGUG
RNAcentral lists this ribosomal RNA (468 nucleotides) under uncultured bacterium. RNAcentral's name for it is "partial 16S ribosomal RNA". It matches the Rfam family "Bacterial small subunit ribosomal RNA", at positions 28 to 507 of the family's 1533-position model. The record is from RNAcentral.